RNAcentral lists this ribosomal RNA (564 nucleotides) under Aureobasidium melanogenum. RNAcentral's name for it is "eukaryotic LSU rRNA". The stretch from base 180 to 333 matches the Rfam family "5.8S ribosomal RNA". Lineage: Eukaryota; Fungi; Ascomycota; Dothideomycetes; Dothideales; Saccotheciaceae. The record is from RNAcentral.
AGGGGUAUGGUGCUCAGCGCCCGACCUCCAACCCUUUGUUGUUAAAACUACCUUGUUGCUUUGGCGGGACCGCUCGGUCUCGAGCCGCUGGGGAUUCGUCCCAGGCGAGCGCCCGCCAGAGUUAAACCAAACUCUUGUUAUUAAACCGGUCGUCUGAGUUAAAAUUUUGAAUAAAUCAAAACUUUCAACAACGGAUCUCUUGGUUCUCGCAUCGAUGAAGAACGCAGCGAAAUGCGAUAAGUAAUGUGAAUUGCAGAAUUCAGUGAAUCAUCGAAUCUUUGAACGCACAUUGCGCCCCUUGGUAUUCCGAGGGGCAUGCCUGUUCGAGCGUCAUUACACCACUCAAGCUAUGCUUGGUAUUGGGUGCCGUCCUUAGUUGGGCGCGCCUUAAAGACCUCGGCGAGGCCUCACCGGCUUUAGGCGUAGUAGAAUUUAUUCGAACGUCUGUCAAAGGAGAGGACUUCUGCCGACUGAAACCUUUUAUUUUUCUAGGUUGACCUCGGAUCAGGUAGGGAUACCCGCUGAACUUAAGCAUAUCAAUAAGGCGGAGGAAAAAUUUAAUAA